CAAAUGUGUAUAAGAGACAGGUGAGUCAUCGAAUCUUUGAACGCACAUUGCGCCCCUUGGUAUUCCGAGGGGCAUGCCUGUUCGAGCGUCAUUAUAACCACUCAAGCUCACGCUUGGUAUUGGGGUUCGCGUGCUCGCGGCCCUUAAAAUCAGUGGCGGUGCCGUCUGGCUCUACGCGUAGUAAUUUCUCUCGCGAUGGAGUUCCGGCGGUUGCUUGCCAAAACCCCCCCUAUUUUCUCAGGUUGACCUCGGAUCAGGUAGGGAUACCCGCUGAACUUAAGCAUAUCAAUAAGCGGAGGA
Molecule: unclassified non-coding RNA, 300 nt
Filed under: uncultured Helotiales
Lineage: Eukaryota; Fungi; Ascomycota; Leotiomycetes; Helotiales
Description: sequence contains 5.8S rRNA gene, ITS2
Rfam family: 5.8S ribosomal RNA (bases 1-91)
Source: RNAcentral